This 1087-nucleotide long non-coding RNA is filed under the name Citrus x clementina. RNAcentral describes it as "Citrus clementina (C. clementina) long non-coding RNA (CCLE_LNC004471)". The record is from RNAcentral. Lineage: Eukaryota; Viridiplantae; Streptophyta; Magnoliopsida; Sapindales; Rutaceae.
UAAAAUUAAGGAUAAAAAUGGGGACUAAAGUAUUAAAAGCUAAAAAAAAAAAAGGUGACUCAUGUACCUUUAUUGAUUUGUAUAAGCACACGUGUCUCGUUCAGUGGAUUCGUGUCCCGUGUCCAUCAUUUUGUACUUGUAUAAUUUUCUUCCUAUUUUCGUAUUCUAAUUUAAAAUUAAAAUGAUACGAAAUAAAUUGUCACAAAACAAAUAUAUAUGACAAAGUAUGACUGAAGUACAUUACAUCAACUGUUUUUGCUGCCAUCACUGACUUAAAGAAAGAAAGAAAGAAAGAAAGAAAAUAUGAAUGAAAUAAGGAGCGACAGGCAGACGAGAGACCGUAGGCAUGUUGUCUUUAGAUUUUUGGCCCUUCAAUUGUUUCACAUCAUGUCCCACUUGUCAUCUUCACUUCCUCCACGCCGUUGCUUCUCCGUUUCUUUGCUUGUUUUCAGGAUUUUGGCAUCCGUACACGUGGAGGGUUCAUAUAAGUGCAAUACAAUUUUUCAAAUAUGAAAUCUAUACGCUCUUGUUGUUUGAAAACUCAUUGAUGUUUAAUUAGAUCUUAAGUGUUUUACGUGGUAGGGUCUCGUCUAGGUUUAGACACUUAGAUUGUGUCAUAUAAAGUUGAUGUAGCAGGUCGUGGUAGUUUUUUUUUCUUUUUUUUUAACCAUAAUUAUCCACAGAUUUACUAUUAGGGUUGGGCAUGUAGCUGAAUAUACAUACCGGUAGGGACGUUUAGCUAGAAAUUUUGUUGGGAUGCUAAUAAUAGUAUUCAUAAUUUUAAAACUUAAUGAAACAAAAAAAAAAAUAACCCCACGAUUAUAUUAUUUAUUGCUAAUAUUUAUACUCGUCGACAAGUUUUCAUGUUCUGAAAAUAGUAUAUGGUAGUUUUAUUAUUUGUGUAUGCUUAUUUAGAAUGCACGCACUAGAUGGUGGCAACGUAAUAGAAUGAUGUCUGGUGAGUUUAAGCAACGAAUUUAUGGCUUGUUCUUAUUGUGACUUGUUGAUUUUUUUAAGGUGGAGAAAUCAAAAUAUUUAGAUCUAGAUAUUUAGAUAUUUUUCUUUUACUUUUUAAUAUUUUAUUAUU